Molecule: long non-coding RNA, 836 nt
Filed under: Apteryx owenii (little spotted kiwi)
Lineage: Eukaryota; Metazoa; Chordata; Aves; Apterygiformes; Apterygidae
Description: lncRNA (ENSAOWG00000004254.1)
Source: RNAcentral
GGGCGAGGGCGCAUGCGCGGGGGGGGGGGGAACCCACACGUGCACCGAGCGGCCCCGGCCUCAGCCAGGGCUCAGUUUAUCGGUGCCACACGUGCACUGAGCGGCUCCGUCCUCAGCCAGGGCUCAAUUUCUCCUGUCCACACACGCGCUGAGCUUCUCUGCCCUCAGCUGCAGCUGGGUUUAUUGGUGUCACACGUGCACCGAGCUGCUCCGUCCUCAGCCGGAGCUGAGCUUAUUGGCGUCACACGUGCAGCGAGCAGCCCCGUCCUCAGCCGCGUGUUAGUUUAUUGGUGCCACUCGUGUCCCGAGCAGCCCCGGCCUCAGCGGGCGGCCAUUUUGUGCCCCCCCCCCCAACACCCACUCGUGCACCAAGCGGCCCUGUCCUCAGCCAGAGCCCAGUUUAUUGCUGCCACACGUGCACUGAGCUGCCCCGUCCUCAGCUGCAGCCUGGUUUAUCAGUGUCACUCAUGUCCCGAGUGGCUCCAUCCUCAGCCACAGCCCGGUUUAUUGGUGUCACUCAUGCACCGAGCUGCCCCGUGCUCAGCCAUGGCUCAGUUUAUCGGUGCCACACGUGCACCGAGCUGCUCCAUCCUCAGCCACAGCCCGGUUUAACAAUGUCACUCGCGCGCCGAGCGGCCCCGUCCUCAGCCAGAGGCCAGUUUAUCGGUGUCACACGUGCACCGAGCGGCUCCGUCCUCAGCCAGAGCCCAGUUUAUCGGUGUCACACGUGCACCGAGCGGCUCCGUGCUCAGCCGCAGCCCGGCUUAUGGGUGUCACACGUGCACCGAGCAGCUCCAUCCUCAGCCAGAGCCCAGUUUAUCGGUGUCACACGUGCA